GGGUUGUGAGGUUAAGCGACUAAGCGUACACGGUGGAUGCCCUGGCAGUCAGAGGCGAUGAAGGACGUGCUAAUCUGCGAUAAGCGUCGGUAAGGUGAUAUGAACCGUUAUAACCGGCGAUUUCCGAAUGGGGAAACCCAGUGUGAUUCGUCACACUAUCAUUAACUGAAUCCAUAGGUUAAUGAGGCGAACCGGGGGAACUGAAACAUCUAAGUACCCCGAGGAAAAGAAAUCAACCGAGAUUCCCCCAGUAGCGGCGAGCGAACGGGGAGCAGCCCAGAGCCUGAAUCAGUGUGUGUGUUAGUGGAAGCGUCUGGAAAGGCGCGCGAUACAGGGUGACAGCCCCGUACACAAAAAUGCACAUAUUGUGAGCUCGAUGAGUAGGGCGGGACACGUGGUAUCCUGUCUGA
This 410-nucleotide ribosomal RNA is filed under the name Escherichia coli. RNAcentral's name for it is "partial 23S ribosomal RNA". It matches the Rfam family "Bacterial large subunit ribosomal RNA", at positions 1 to 441 of the family's 2925-position model. RNAcentral also lists the same sequence under 1 other name. Lineage: Bacteria; Pseudomonadati; Pseudomonadota; Gammaproteobacteria; Enterobacterales; Enterobacteriaceae. The record is from RNAcentral.